RNAcentral lists this ribosomal RNA (272 nucleotides) under Streptococcus sp. RNAcentral describes it as "partial 16S ribosomal RNA". It matches the Rfam family "Bacterial small subunit ribosomal RNA", at positions 562 to 837 of the family's 1533-position model. Lineage: Bacteria; Bacillati; Bacillota; Bacilli; Lactobacillales; Streptococcaceae. The record is from RNAcentral.
UUUGAAAGGCCAGCGGUUUGAUAAGUCUGAUGUUAAAGGCUGUGGCUCAACCAUAGUUCGCUUUGGAAACUGUCAAACUUGAGUGCAGAAAGAGAAAGUGGAAUUCCAUUGGGUACGGUGAAUGCGUAGAUUAUGGAGGAACACCGGUGGCGAAAGCGGCUCUCUGGUCUGUAACUGACGCUGAGGCUCGAAAGCGUGGGGAGCGAACAGGAUUAGAUACCCUGGUAGUCCACGCCGUAAACGAUGAGUGCUAGGUGUUGGAUCCUUUCCGA